GGAAAACUGGAGCUUUAAUUACAUCGUGUUCACUCACAUUUACUGUGAUUCUGUUGGUAUCAGUCGCUGGAGAAGGGUUUUACACUGACACAUUUACUGUUGGUUUGUGUAACACAUGCAGUCACUACCGCAGGUUGAGGCAGCACGGAGCACACAGGACACAGAGGACGUUUUAAAUAUUUAUUAAUGAAUCACACACACUUCACCACUCCGCAGCAGUGUGUCUCUUAAUGUCCACGCCAAAUGUACAUACGGCUCGUGUGUGUCAGUCAAACAGCGAUCCUCAGUCCAGCUGCUACUGCCUUUAAAGGAGGAGAUGAUUAGGCAACUCAAUGCAGCUGUGCCAAUAAACUCACCUGUUACUGCUCCUGCUGAGCCAGCUCCGCACAUUCCCUCUCCCACAGCUGAGUGCCCAAACCAAGCCCACACCCACAGUUUGUUUUUAUUAGGGCUCACAAUGACCAUAUUGCUUUUGCUUCGAUUAUUAGUUUUGAGUUCACCGGGAUUAAGGCUUGUUCUUCAGUAACAACAGACCCAGAGGAGCUGAUAUCCGGUUUGUUCGCUGCAGUCUGCCUCUGACCACUUCAUAGCAGCCAAGCACACCAGUCCUUUUAAGAGGUAUGUGGAUGAUAUCAACUUCCGGCUGGGCCACUAUUAUUUCUUCACUUGCUGUCAUGUUUCGGCCAUGUCCAUCUCUGAGACCUGGUAUGCCAUUAAAGACCAUGGCACCAACUACUGCAACCUCUACAACCUCAUUGAAGGAAGUGGUCUAACUGAAGCCAGAGGUUAUAAAGAGGUUACCAGUGACUUUGAAUGUACCCAACGCUCCUCUGCUAACUGCACUGUCUAUUGACUGAAUAUGAAGGAUGACCAGAGACCAUCAUAUCUAGACACAUCCCAUGACAAUUUAGAAAUUUAGAAUUUAAAUUUAAACAGACUCUUCAUAUAUUCUCAGUUACAUAUCAUAAUAUUACAAUUUUGACUAAAUAAAUGUUUGUUCCAUGUAUGUAUACAAGUUUUGAUUCUUUUGGUUUGUUUUUUUUAGCAUAUUUUCUGGCCUUUAUUUUUGAUAGGAUAGAGAGCUAGCUGUGAAAGGGGGGCAGAGAGAGAGUGGGGAGGACAUGCAUGUUGGGGCAGCAGCACAACCAGGUCAGCUACGCCACCCCCUGGUUCUUGAGUGCAUUUGAGUAACUGAUUCGCAAAUAUGAAAUGAUAAAUAAAAUGGACACAUAUACAACCUAAGUUAUGUUUGAUUACCAAUUGUUGGUUUUUACUUAUGAGGCAGAUAUGUCAUGUUUAAGGAUUGUAACCUAAGUUAACUGCCAUGUAUUUUUGUUCCACUACUUUGGUAACAGUCCAAGACUUGUUUGCCUUUUGAUUCCCCAACUAACAAUUUUUUUUCAACUGAUUACAUUCUAUACCGUAUUUUACCUUCCCAUUUCUAUUACCCCUUAUUGUGUUAAAUAAA
Hippoglossus stenolepis (Pacific halibut) is the source of this 1468-nucleotide long non-coding RNA. RefSeq lists it as uncharacterized. The transcript is spliced from 4 exons. The record is from RefSeq and is a predicted model, not a curated record. Lineage: Eukaryota; Metazoa; Chordata; Actinopteri; Pleuronectiformes; Pleuronectidae.